RNAcentral lists this ribosomal RNA (806 nucleotides) under uncultured bacterium. Its description in RNAcentral is "bacterial SSU rRNA". It matches the Rfam family "Bacterial small subunit ribosomal RNA", at positions 8 to 794 of the family's 1533-position model. The record is from RNAcentral.
AGAGUUUGAUCCUGGCUCAGAAUCAACGCUGGCGGCGUGCCUAACACAUGCAAGUCGAACGCGAAAGUGGAGCAAUCCAUGAGUAGAGUGGCAAACGGGUGAGUAACGCGUGGGCGACCUACCUUUGAGUGGGGGAUAACCUUCCGAAAGGAGGGCUAAUACCGCAUGACAUCCCGUGUUUGGAUACACGGAGAUCAAAGCCGGGGAUCGUAAGACCUGGCGCUUGGAGAGGGGCCCGCGUCCGAUUAGCUAGUUGGUGAGGUAAUGGCUCACCAAGGCGACGAUCAGUAGCCGGUCUGAGAGGAUGAACGGCCACAUUGGGACUGAGACACGGCCCAGACUCCUACGGGAGGCAGCAGUGGGGAAUCUUCCGCAAUGGACGAAAGUCUGACGGAGCAACGCCGCGUGAACGAUGACGGCCUUCGGGUUGUAAAGUUCUGUUAUACGGGACGAAUGGCGUAGCGGUCAAUACCCGUUACGAGUGACGGUACCGUAAGAGAAAGCCACGGCUAACUACGUGCCAGCAGCCGCGGUAAUACGUAGGUGGCAAGCGUUGUCCGGAAUUAUUGGGCGUAAAGGGCGCGCAGGCGGCGUCGUAAGUCGGUCUUAAAAGUGCGGGGCUUAACCCCGUGAGGGGACCGAAACUGCGAUGCUAGAGUAUCGGAGAGGAAAGCGGAAUUCCUAGUGUAGCGGUGAAAUGCGUAGAUAUUAGGAGGAACACCAGUGGCGAAAGCGGCUUUCUGGACGACAACUGACGCUGAGGCGCGAAAGCCAGGGGAGCAAACGGGAUUAGAUACCCCGGUAGU